AACGCACGAGACCUGCGGACCUGCGGAGGGAUCAUUACAGAGUUGCAAAACUCCAAACCAUUGUGAACUUACCUUUGCCGUUGCUUCGGCGGGCGGCCCGGGUCCCGACCCGGCGCCCCCCGGCCCCGUCAGGGGCGCCCGCCGGAGGUAAACCAAACUCUUGAAUUGUAUGGCCUCUCUGAGUCUUCUGUACUGAAUAAGUCAAAACUUUUAGCAACGGAUCUCUAGAUCGGAAGAGCA
Molecule: unclassified non-coding RNA, 240 nt
Filed under: soil metagenome
Description: partial contains 5.8S ribosomal RNA, internal transcribed spacer 2, and large subunit ribosomal RNA
Source: RNAcentral